RNAcentral lists this ribosomal RNA (484 nucleotides) under uncultured bacterium. RNAcentral's name for it is "partial 16S ribosomal RNA". It matches the Rfam family "Bacterial small subunit ribosomal RNA", at positions 30 to 507 of the family's 1533-position model. The record is from RNAcentral.
AUUGAACGCUGGCGGAAUGCUUUACACAUGCAAGUCGAACGGCAGCACGGGGGCAGCCCUGGUGGCGAGUGGCGAACGGGUGAGUAAUACAUCGGAACGUGCCCGGUCGUGGGGGAUAACGUAGCGACAGUUACGCUAAUACCGCAUACGAUCUGAGGAUGAAAGCGGGGGACCUUCGGGCCUCGCGCGAUCGGAGCAGCCGAUGUCAGAUUAGGUAGUUGGUGGGGUAAAGGCCUACCAAGCCGACGAUCCGUAGCUGGUCUGAGAGGACGACCAGCCACACUGGGACUGAGACACGGCCCAGACUCCUACGGGAGGCAGCAGUGGGGAAUUUUGGACAAUGGGCGCAAGCCUGAUCCAGCCAUUCCGCGUGCAGGACGAAGGCCUUCGGGUUGUAAACUGCUUUUGUACGGAACGAAAAGGCUCUGGCUAAUACCUGGGGCUCAUGACGGUACCGUAAGAAUAAGCACCGGCUAACUACGUG